Molecule: ribosomal RNA, 215 nt
Filed under: Paenibacillus taichungensis
Lineage: Bacteria; Bacillati; Bacillota; Bacilli; Caryophanales; Paenibacillaceae
Description: partial 16S ribosomal RNA
Rfam family: Bacterial small subunit ribosomal RNA
Source: RNAcentral
AUUGGAGAGUUUGAUCCUGGCUCAGGACGAACGCUGGCGGCAUGCCUAAUACAUGCAAGUCGAGCGGACUUGAUGAGAAGCUUGCUUCUCUGAUGGUUAGCGGCGGACGGGUGAGUAACACGUAGGCAACCUGCCCUCAAGCUUGGGACAACUACCGGAAACGGUAGCUAAUACCGAAUAGUUGUUUUCUUCUCCUGAAGAGAACUGGAAAGACG